Molecule: ribosomal RNA, 664 nt
Filed under: Umbelopsis sp. C_1_BESC_294ae
Lineage: Eukaryota; Fungi; Mucoromycota; Umbelopsidomycetes; Umbelopsidales; Umbelopsidaceae
Description: eukaryotic LSU rRNA
Rfam family: Eukaryotic large subunit ribosomal RNA
Source: RNAcentral
AUCUGAAAUCAGGUAGGGCUACCCGCUGAACUUAAGCAUAUCAAUAAGCGGAGGAAAAGAAACUAACAAGGAUUCCCCUAGUAACGGCGAGUGAAGCGGGAAGAGCUCAAAUUUAAAAUCUAGUUUGCUUGCAAACUCGAGUUGUAGUCUGAAGAAACGUUUUCCAUGAAAGCUGAGGCACAAGUCCUUUGGAACAGGGCAUCAUAGAGGGUGAGAAUCCCGUCCAUGGUCUCAAGUCUUUCAUUUUGUGAUACGUUUUCUAAGAGUCAGGUUGUUUGGGAAUGCAGCCUAAAAUGGGUGGUAAAUUUCAUCUAAAGCUAAAUAUUGGCGAGAGACCGAUAGCGAACAAGUACCGUGAGGGAAAGAUGAAAAGAACUUUGAAAAGAGAGUUAAAAAGUACGUGAAAUUGUUGAAAGGGAACCGUUUGAAGCCAGUCUUGUUUUUUUGUGAUCAGUCUCAGCUUUGGCUGGGAUGCACUCUCAAUUUUACAGGUCAACGUCAGUUUGAGAAGUGGGAAAAAAGUUUGAGGAAUGUGGCCUUCGGGUGUUAUAGCCUCUUACUAAAUACCAUUUCCUGGACUGAGGCUCGCAGCAAAAAUCUUGGCAGACUUGCUUCUGAGGUGAACCAUUAUUAAGACAGCUUGCUGACUUAGUUUUGUCUANCU